RNAcentral lists this long non-coding RNA (1047 nucleotides) under Cyanistes caeruleus (blue tit). Its description in RNAcentral is "lncRNA (ENSCCEG00000010453.1)". The record is from RNAcentral. Lineage: Eukaryota; Metazoa; Chordata; Aves; Passeriformes; Paridae.
GUCUGCUGCCAAUUACAGUGGUCUUUGUUAUAGCACAACACCUGACAAAUUCAAUAGCUGAAAUGCUUUGUGUUUCUGCUGAGAAGUACCAGCUCUUGCUUCAGGCUGUGAUUGCUGAAUCAUAUAUCACAGAGCUCUGGUCAUGAAUCUGGCUAUGAAUUCCCCUCUAGUCUGAAAUUGAUAACAUCUGUUGGCAACAGCAAGUGUUAACUACACAGAUAAAGCCAACUCUUUGCAAAAAUAUAGAAAGAAUUGCAGGUCUUUAAAAAAUGUGAAGGAUUUGUAGGAAGCCUUGCCACUGAAGAUGUGAGGCUACUUUCCACAGUGGUACCUUAAAGAGAUGCUGUCACUACACCCGGCUGGGAUAUUUUCAGUGGAAAUACCUCCAGAGAAGUGAGAGCAGUUUUGACACCAGUUAUGGAGUUAUGGCUUCCAGAGAUGCUGGCCAGGAGAUGGUUGCACAAGAGAGCUUGAAGACAUUACUGGGAACAAGGACACGUUCUUCAGAAAGAUGGAACAACUGAAUAAGUAAUAGACUUUUUUUUUAUAUAAAAUGGCUAUCCUUCUCCAGGUGGUUGAGUGUCUUUCAGAGAAGUUUUGGGCUUUGUCUAAGCCUUGCAAACCUGGUAGAAACCAGACCAAAAUACUGUGUUGCACUUAAGAAGCAAAUCAGCAGCACCAGUAUCUGCCCUCUUACUGCAGCAGUUUCUGCAGGAAGCUAAAUAAUAUUUACCAGAUUUAUAUGUCUGUCUCUAGGGAAUUCUAGAAAUGCUUUCAGAAAUACCUGUCCCUGUUUCAAUUAUCUCUGUUCAGCAAGUAGCACUAUUGCCACUCAGUGGGGUCUGAAACAUUAAUGACAUAUCCCAGCAGGGGCCCAGAUGGAUAAGACAAAGUAGAAAGAAUUGGUUUUGUCACAGAAAAAAGCAUUAAAAACAAAAAAAUAUCAAAUUUAUGCUAUGUUUUUAAAUUUUAUUAGUUAAUUUAACAGUUCACUUAACAAGUGUUAAUAAUUUUUAAAACUAACUGUUCUCUCUAAUUAAAGCCACU